RNAcentral lists this small RNA (1183 nucleotides) under uncultured Eimeria. RNAcentral's name for it is "eukaryotic LSU rRNA". The stretch from base 459 to 613 matches the Rfam family "5.8S ribosomal RNA". The record is from RNAcentral. Lineage: Eukaryota; Apicomplexa; Conoidasida; Eucoccidiorida; Eimeriidae.
GGAUGCAAAAGUCGUAACACGGUUUCCGUAGGUGAACCUGCGGAAGGAUCAUUCACACAUUGCGUCUCAAAGCUGCUUCAUCAGACAGUGACUCAAUUUUUGGGGCUUGGAUGAUGUUUGCUGCUGCGAGGGAACGCUUAAUUGAACCUUAUCAGCUACCAAUCUUUGAAUCUGUUUUGUUUUCCCACCACGACGCAUUUUUGUGAAGAAAAGAAGAGGAAAAAACCUGACUGUGCAAGCAUCAUUGCCACCUUUUGAAGGGAUGGGAUGAUGAUGCAUGCAUGGGAGGGGGAGGGGCGGCGCAUGCACCGCUUGGGGCUUUUUGGGGCUUUGGGGCUGUGGUUGUGGGGCUUGCAUGCUACAUGUGACCCUGGCACUGCUGUCUAUGAUGAGCACCCAUAGCGCCAGCGUGUGUUAUUGCGUUCGUUGCCUUGUAUUUUAUAUUUAAAAAAAAACAAAACUUUCAGCAAUGGAUGUCUUGGCUCACGCAUCGAUGAAGGACGCAGCGAAAUGCGAUACGCAUUGUGAAUUGCAGAUUUCAGUGAACCAUCAGAUUUCUGAACGCACAUGGCGCUGCUGGUAUUUUGCCCGCAGCACGUCUGUUUCAGUGUCUCUUAACAACCUCUACUAGUAUACCAUGCUUCGCUCUCUGUUCCUCAUGUUCCUGGUAGUGUGAAGGUUCGGUGGUUUUACGCACAGAAGCAAGCUCUUGCAAGUUUCUGUUGUGAGUCACGGAACUCUCUACUCGGAGAAGGGGAGGAGGUAGACAGUUUGGUGUCAUUUGAGUGUCGUUGCAUUUGUAUUGGAGCAAGUGUGGCGUCUCUCUAAAUUGUUGUCGGCAGGGGUGCUGUGUCUGUAAUGUGCGCAGCACUAGGACAUGCCUGUGCUUUCUCUGUGGUCGUCGUAUAUGCUCCUUUCAUUCUGAAAGAGAGUGAGAUACGGUGGUUGUGUAUCACAAUACGCACAGCACAUGUUUGUCUCACUGUGGACGAAUGUUUAAAAGGGCUAUAUGGCAAAGGCUAGAGGACGAGGUGCAUGGGUAUAUGCAAUGCCGCGAGAUGACACACAAAUACAACGCACUAGUGUGUGUUGUGUGGAUGUGUGUUGUUUCAGUAUAUGUAUGUAUAGACCUGAAAUCAGUCGAGGUUACCCGCUGAAUUUAAGCAUAUUAUUAAGCGGAGGA